UACAGAGGUCCCAAGCGUUGUUCGGAUUCAUUGGGCGUAAAGGGUGCGUAGGUGGCGUCGUAAGUCGGGUGUGAAAUCUCGGGGCUUAACUCCGAAACUGCAUUCGAUACUGCGGUGCUUGAGGACUGGAGAGGAGACUGGAAUUUACGGUGUAGCAGUGAAAUGCGUAGAUAUCUGGAGGAACACCGGUGGCGAAGGCGGCAUCCUGGACCAACACUGACGCUGAGUGAGCGAAAGCCAGGGGAGCAAACGGG
This 254-nucleotide ribosomal RNA is filed under the name uncultured bacterium. Its description in RNAcentral is "partial 16S ribosomal RNA". It matches the Rfam family "Bacterial small subunit ribosomal RNA", at positions 524 to 776 of the family's 1533-position model. The record is from RNAcentral.